Molecule: unclassified non-coding RNA, 88 nt
Filed under: Pseudomonas sp. OV546
Lineage: Bacteria; Pseudomonadati; Pseudomonadota; Gammaproteobacteria; Pseudomonadales; Pseudomonadaceae
Source: RNAcentral
GUGGGAGGGGGCUUGCCCCCGAUGGCAGUGUGUCAGUCACCGAAAAUGUUGAUUGAUCUACUGCUAUCGGGGGCAAGCCCCCUCCCAC